GACGAACGCUGGCGGCGUGCUUAACACAUGCAAGUCGAACGGAAAGGCCCUGCUUUCUGGGUGCUCGCGUGGCGAACGGGUGAGUAACACGCGGGUGAUCUGCCCCCUACUUUGGGAUAAGCCUGGGAAACUGGGUCUAAUACUGGAUAGGACCAUGCUGUAGGCGGUGUGGUGGAAAGAUUAGUUUCGGUAAGGGAUGAGCUCGCGGCCUAUCAGCUUGUUGGUGGGGUGAUGGCCUACCAAGGCGUCGACGGGUAGCCGGCCUGAGAGGGUGGUCGGCCACAUUGGGACUGAGAAGCGACGCAGAAUCCUACGGGAGGCAGCAGUGGGGAAGAUUGCACAAUAGGCGCAAGCCUGAUGCGGCGACGCCGCGUGGGGGGUGACGGCCUUCGGGUUGUAAACUCCUUUCAGCCAUGACGAAGCGCUUGUGGUGACGGUAGUGGUAGAAGAAGCACCGGCUAACUACGUG
RNAcentral lists this ribosomal RNA (469 nucleotides) under uncultured bacterium. RNAcentral describes it as "partial 16S ribosomal RNA". It matches the Rfam family "Bacterial small subunit ribosomal RNA", at positions 28 to 507 of the family's 1533-position model. The record is from RNAcentral.